AUGAUUAUAUAUUUUUUUACCUUUUUUUAGUGUUGUUGUGCUCCGCUUUCAAUCCACUUAAUUUUAUCUUUAACCUAUCCUGGUGACUGAAUUUUUUUUCUUUUAAAAAACAAAUAGCUAAAAACCAAAAAAAAUUGGCUUGUGACUUGUCGUCCUGAAUUGAAUUGUCAUGCAUGUCUCUUCGUCUUUUGACAGGUGAUGAAGUAGGGAAGAAUCCAAACAAUCAUGCAAAAUGCUUCUUAAUUAGAGCUAACAUCAUUGCUCUCUCUCAGAUACUUUGUGCAAACGCAUCAACACUACUCCACUCCCUGACCCGUAUCCGCCAGCGAAACCACAAAAUUAAAACAAUGUUUUGAUGAUUUCUCAGCUACUUAAUAGCUAACUAACCAACGACAUGCAUGUGAAUACCUUUUCAAGAAAAAAAGGAGACACGGAUAGAGAGGGUGGUAAACCAUCAAUCCUCCAAAAAACAUAUAUCUUGCUUCCAAUCGCUUCUAGCAUACAUGGCACCCACAUGCGACCAAGUCGAGUACCAUUUAAACAUCAAAUAAGACUCAUGGAGAGACACGUCCGUCUAUCUGUCAUGACAUGCACAUCCUCUUCCGACAUGUGUGAUACACCGCAUACCACUGUUUGUCCCCUAACGCUUGCUCUACAAGUUGCUGCGGUCAAACGCAAGUCGACCACCCGAAUUUUGAGAGAAUGAUAAGUAAAUGGAAAAUGCUUUAGGGGACAUCAUUUCUUGUUUUCAUCUCUCUUUUUUUUUUUUGGUGAGAAAAGGGAGGUUUACCUCCCUUAAUUUAUUAAAAAGGAAAAAAAAAAAAUUACACUCGGACUUGCCGUGGGAACGCAGCCCCACUAACAUCCUCCAAACAAAUAGAAUUCACACAAUCUUGAACAAACUCUAACAAAAGAAAACUCAGCGGUAAUAAAAACGCAUAGUUCGCCAAUCCAUCAGCAAGACGAUUAAUCUUCCUAUACACAUGUGAAAUACGGACUAUCCAGUCCCUUGCAAUAAAGCCAUGGUACAAACGUACCAGAAAAAACAGCGGAUGAGCAUCACUAACCUCUGCCCUUAAAAAACCGACAACUAUCUCCAAAGUCCAAAUCCACCUCGAUCUCCAACCUUCUCACUCCACGAUCCCAAGCAACUAACAAACCAUAGUACACUUCCCAUAGUUCAGCCAAUGGUGCAGAACAGAUCCCAAUAUUCAAAACAAAACCCACAGACCAACAACCAUGCAUCCUCACCCCGCAACACACCCCCAGCUGUAGCUAACCCGGGAUUACCUCUUGAAGCUCCAUCGGUGUUUAGCUUCACCCAACCCUCAGGAGAAUCCUGUUUUCAUUAGUCGGAGAACAAACUAAUCAAUGAUAUUGUCAAGAAUCUUGUCUAACUUCAUUCAGGUACCUUUUUGUCUGUUUUUGUUGUUGUUGUUGUUGUUGUUGUUGUCUUGUUGAACAAUAAGUUAUACCAAAGACUUGGCCUUGUUGCUGGCAAAAAAAAAAAAAAA
Molecule: non-coding RNA, 1514 nt
Organism: Camelina sativa (false flax)
Lineage: Eukaryota; Viridiplantae; Streptophyta; Magnoliopsida; Brassicales; Brassicaceae
Source: RefSeq, a predicted model, not a curated record